Salarias fasciatus (jewelled blenny) is the source of this 423-nucleotide long non-coding RNA. RefSeq lists it as uncharacterized. The transcript is spliced from 3 exons. NCBI's taxonomy places the organism in Eukaryota, Metazoa, Chordata, Actinopteri, Blenniiformes, Blenniidae. The record is from RefSeq and is a predicted model, not a curated record.
UUCGCAGUGACACCUGAGAAGAGGAACUGACCGCGCUCAUGGAAAAGCAGUUUGUCACCAAAGUGUCCUGUGUCUUCAAGUGAGCUGUCCCACUGCAUCUGUCUUCCAUUCGUUUGCAUCAGUGACGACAUCUUUUCUGGAAAAGGCUGAUGACGAAGGCUCCGGAACAGCUAUGGCAGAGACGGUCUUUGGAAUAUUUGUCAUCCGACAGGAAGGAGCCGGGCCUGCUGAUGACCCAGAGGAUGUUGGAAUCCUUCUGGAAGGGGUGGAGGUACUCAACAACUUGACAAAUGUUCCUUUUGCUGUUGCGAUGUUGCUCGCCCUUGUAUAUGCUCUAAACCUGAGCUAUCCUCCGGAGUUGAAAUGUACCUUCAAAGCACUUCAGAAAAUCAUAAUGGAAAUAGACGGAAGCAGACUAUCCAG